GUUUGGAUUGCCCGGGCGGCGCGGGAGCGGCCGGGCGCAGCUGACCACGGGUACAGAUAGGUUAAUUUCCACAUGGAGCGGCAGAAACCCAAUCCGCGGGUUGCGAAGCGUGGGUCAGCCAAGGCACGUUAAUCUGUUUAGCAUGUGCGCCGCGCGGAGGAGCCAGACCACCGGGGCGCAGGAGGCGCGGCCGCAGCCGCGCUGCUCCGGGGGAGUUAAUAAAGAGCUUAAGCAUCGCGUUCUGUUGGACAGAGAGCCCCAGGACUGUCAGACGGCGAAGGGUUAGGAAGUGCGCGCAGCCUCGCCGACCCCUGCCCAGUCCGAGAACCAGAGCUGUUGUCGAUCGAGGGCCCGGCCGUUGCGCCCGGGGCGCGCGGGCCUCGCUGAGUCGCGACGAGUCCCUGCGCCUCCUCCCAGACGCGGCGCCACCGAGAGAGAGACCACCGGCUCCCGCUUCAUUUCAGGGGCUGACAAGGGGAAAACACUACUGCGCCCCUGGCCGAAGGAGAGGAAAACAAGACCCAAACUUGGUGACCUGCCCCCUCAGUUUAGAACUUUAAGGUGAGCUUAAUGCUUGAGUACUGAAAAACUCUUCCGAACCCUGACUUCUCUGAGUUUGCAUAGUAGUGUGUCUACAGUGUCUGCAAGUGGAAAAUAUUUAAAAGUGAGAAAAGAAUACAAGAAAAUAUUUUUUCUUUAAAAUUUAAAAAAACUUAUUUUAAAGUUUUUCUUUGAUUUGGAAUACAAUGUUUAAGAACAAGAAAAAAGUGCCCCAGGGCUUUUCACUGUGCCUCCGUAUCUGAGUCUUUCCACAAACGCAUGUGAACAUAAACGCAUUCCUUGCAGAUCACAGUCUCAGUUCACCGUAGUGUGAGCAUUUUGUGCUGAGCCUGAUCAUGAAGAUCCUCCGCCUCCUUUUCAGUUCUUCACUGAUUAGAACUGGUGGCUAGGGUAAGACUGAUGGGUAAACGAUUGGUAGAAAGCCUUAAAAACUUGAGAAGAAACUCAAAUUCCUAGUUCUCUGAGUGGAGGAAUUUUGUGCCUCCAUACCACAUAGGCACCUAUCUCUUUUAGGUGCUUUGUGAGUGAACUGCCACACCAGAAAGAUAGUUUCAAGAAGCAACCUAAGUUUAGUUUACAGACAAUUGAGUUUGGGUUUGUUUUUUUUUUUUAAUGGUUUUGUUAAGUGGAGAAGUGAAAAAAGAUCUUCCUAGCCUUCCCUCCACCCCAUUGUUUGCUGCUGAAAUGGCUCGUUCCUCUUGCUGCGUGAGUGUGUUUCUGUUAUUAGAGGCAACUUGGUGGUGGGAAUUCUUGCGUUUGUUCCCUGUAUUUAAAUUGGGAAUAAAGGGAUUUGCAGUGUAGCAGGUGCUCAAUAAAUACUGCAGACUAAUCCCACUUUUCAAAGCUUAGAGGUUAAAGAGAUGAUCAGUAGGUAAAUAAUUAGAGAAAAGAAAUAGAACAAGAGACCAGAAGAGGGGUUUAAAACACCAUUGCUUUGUUUAUUUUAGAAGGGAGGAGAAAGUUAUCUGUCCAAAUAUACAUCUGACUGAGGUAAGAGAAAACACAAUGUCCCCUCUUUUUUCCUCAUUAUUUCUAGAAAGGGUUAAAUAAUGAUUUAUUUCAUAGAUAGGGUGGGAAUGUUGAAGAAAGAUGAGCUUUACAUGAAGCCAAAAGUUUCUCUUAACUAAUAUAAGGAUUUGGGUAUACUCCAAAGUUUAGAGGUUUUUCAUUUCCUGGAAGAAUAUGGAUGUGGGACAGAAGCCACAAAAGAAUCAUCGGUCUACACAUGUGUGUAGGUUUUAUGUUUUCCAAAAUAUUUUCAUAUAAAUUGGCAUAUUGAUUCUCAAAACCCAUCACCACACUCCCCGCAAAUAUAAAUGAGUGUGAAGAAAACUGAUUUAAUAUUUAUUUUUAACUGAGUCUUAUGUCUUCUGUUGCAACCUCUGGAGAGUUUUGUGUUUUUUUUUGGUUUGUG
This is a long non-coding RNA of Bos taurus (domestic cattle), 1975 nucleotides long. NCBI's taxonomy places the organism in Eukaryota, Metazoa, Chordata, Mammalia, Artiodactyla, Bovidae. The record is from Ensembl.